This is a long non-coding RNA of Lutra lutra (Eurasian river otter), 913 nucleotides long. RefSeq lists it as uncharacterized. The record is from RefSeq and is a predicted model, not a curated record. Lineage: Eukaryota; Metazoa; Chordata; Mammalia; Carnivora; Mustelidae. The transcript is spliced from 4 exons.
GCUUCUUGGCGUUGCCGGGUGCAGGAGUCUGAAUUAAGCUAGACCCAUAUAUCAGACCCCGUCCUGCCCCCUCAGAGCCAGGACUCCCUCCCCCGCCACCCCUUCCUCUCCAGGUUUAUUGCUCAGCAUCCCCUCCCCUGCGAGACCCCUCCCUCCCCCGGGCCCAAGCCGCGAUCGCAGUGGGGUGGGCUUUCUGGGGUGCGGGUCCGGAGGUGGCAAACGUGAAGCCGGUGGUGGUCCCUCCCUUUACAAGUUCCGCCCUCCUCCUUUCCUCCUCCCCCAGCGACCGAGCCUUCGCCCGCUCGCGCGGAAGGCGGCAGGAGGGGUUAAGGGCUCGGGGCGUCACGUGGGACGUUCACCAAACCACUCAGAGGAGCGUGAGAGUGAACGGCCGGGCCGCCAAGCCGCGAGGCCGCGGCGCGACGGGUGUCUCCGUUCCCAGCGUCAUUAUGCUCGGCUUCCCGGCGUCUGCGUCUUGGCAGAGGCAGAGGAGGCUCCCGGCCGUGGCGUGUGUUGUAGCCCCGACUGUGGGAUAGUGUAGAUGAAAUGCCACUGCCUUUGGCCUCGUGCUCCUGGCUGUUCCCGCAUCUUCUACCACUGGAUAGAUAAAAAGUUUUGUAUACUUUUCUUAUAUCCCAAGGCCGUGGGAAUCACUUUCUAAAUGCGUCACUUGAGGUUGCUAUCAGAACCCUAAAGUUUUAUUUUCAGGCAGCCCCUCUUCACUCUUGGGACAAGAUACACCACCAGCUAUGCCCUUUCAACCUGGCAUCUUCAGGGAAAAUUACUUUGUUAACUCCAGAAAGAAAUUUUAUGAAGGGCUUCAAGUGGUUUUGCUUGGAUGAUUCAUUCCUUUCUGUCACUGACAAUGGAGCUAAUUUGCUUUAUCAAGCCCAGAACACAUGAUUUACCUCUG